This 11026-nucleotide long non-coding RNA is filed under the name Triticum aestivum (bread wheat). RNAcentral's name for it is "long non-coding RNA (TAES_LNC001590)". Lineage: Eukaryota; Viridiplantae; Streptophyta; Magnoliopsida; Poales; Poaceae. The record is from RNAcentral.
UGGCUAUUUUCUGUUUAGUUCUCUUUUGACAUAUAGUUUGUUCUCUUUGAAUGUGCAGAUUGUACGCUGUGCUGAUUAUCUUUUUUCGUUGUUGGGGUCAUUUGAACCUGCAGGUCAUGUGUUAUGUGAUCUGAGCCAUAUGGCAUAUUGUAAUCUUUUUAUUGCUGGUUUUUAUGUACGAUGUCACGAAGAUGUACGUUUGAAAUGUUGCUUUGACAGCAAAAUUGUAUUCCUGUGUACAUGCUACUUUGACAGCAAAAUUAUAAAAAUUUCUCAACAGUAUAUAUGGGUUAAAUAUCUGUUUUUCAAUUUUCUAUGCUUAAAGUUGUACUGCGCCUGAAAAGGCUACAGCCCAAUAGAUGAUGUUGUGGAAUUGUUUAUUUUAGUUUAAUAGUGAAAAUAAUAAUAAUAAUGCUGAAAGUUAUAAAAAACAAAAUGAAAAGGCCAACAAAAAAAGAAAAUUACUAGAAAAAGGAAACGGCCCAAAAAAGAAAAAAGGUUGUAAAAUUGGGCUUGGCCCAUUUAGUUGAACAUGGAAAAACAUAAAUUGUUGAAUUACUGGGCUCGGCCCAUAUAGACGCCUACACUGGACCGGGCUGAUUCUAAUCAACGACCUUUUCAUUUGGUCGCAAUUUUACCAGGUCAGCUUGCCACAUCGGAUCCGACAUGGCGCAGGCAGAUUGCCAGUGACCAAAAUAAUUGGUUGUUGCACCAACGACCUUUCAUUUUGGUCGUUACCUUCUAUGACCAUUUCAGAACAAAGGCCGUUAAGUUUCAAUAAAGAUGAUCAGCUUUUGACCAACUGUUUUUGGUCACAAAAAGGUCACAAAUGAAAAAAAUGACAAUUCAGUGACCAAUAUCGAUGGUCGCAAGUUGACACAUUUCUUGCAGUGAGAGAUCUGGAGGCUGUAAGCAAUGGCGCAAGAUGGAAGUGUGGGGGAAAGGAGGAUUGUGACCCUUUGCUUUAAUAGGUCAGUAAAAGACUAAGAGUCCCCUUACUGUGUCGUAUGAAUCGACACAUUCCAACCUUCUGUGUCGUUAUGCACGCAUUGGGUGAACAAUUCGUUGAUGAUAUCCCUUAAAAAUGGAGCACGAUCUCUGCAUUGAUGAGACACACCAAUGAUUAAGCUGCCUCGGGCCACAAUUUGACUUACAAUAACUGGCUUAGUUAGCGCUAUAGGUUGUGACGGUUCGGUAAAAGUUGUUAGAAAAAAACACUGUUCACACCUAUGCGGCAAGCCUUUGGGCUAACCUAUCCCAUGACUUCGGAUGCCGAAGUAUGACUUUUAAACAUGUGGUUGGCGGGCAAUCCCGUUAAGGAGAAGCCCGAAAUUGCUUUGGAUGAGAAAGAUUUUGGAUCUGAGUGAAAGCCAGCUAGAGAAAGAACUUGCCUUGCCUUCCAAGCCGAAGACUUUAAGCCGAAAACAUUGGUCCGAGUAUGGAACUUCUAUCCUCGGCUUCGAAGACAAGUUCAGGGGCUACUGGCGGUGUCCUGGACUAGGGGGUACCAACCUAUGUGACCCACAGUCCAUGGGCCGAGCCUACGGCCCACCAUCUCCAUAAGGAUGGACUCCAGAACCCACGAAUCCUGGAGUGAUCAAGAUGGACACCGCUGAAGACUUGGCGUAUACUUCAAGGACAACUCCAACUAUCGGCGUGUUUAUUCCUAGUUGGCAAACCGACCAUAUGUAACCCUAGAUACCCCUGGUGCCUAUAUAAGCCGGAGGGUUUAAUCCGUAGGGACACAAUCAUAAUUACCAGCCUUAGGGUUUAGAACACAGCAUACGAUCGCAGACUAAGGCAUAGCCUAGUGGUGGGAAGGGGCUGAUGCCUUCCCACCCACCCAGGUUCAAGGCAUGGUACUUGCAAUUUGAGUUUGUUGCACCAAUUAUACUGUAGGGGGUUCCCUUACAGUCUUUCUGUUAAAAAAAUACAAAUCUCCCGUUUUCGUUGCCUUUCGGAUGUCUCACGUCGCAGACUUUUCUUUGCAGGCCGAACAAACCCCGUGCACCAUAUUGUACACCAUCGGCGACCAGAAGGUGGACGUGGGGAAGGCGUCGAUAAUGGAGCCGAAGGAACCAUUGUUCCACAGCCGGCCGAUCCCCCCGGAAGUCUUCAAGGUUUCCGUGGCGAGUGUCAAAUCGGGCCACGAGAAUUUGGCUCCUCUGGUACUAGUGGGGGAUGACGACGAGACCCCACGGUGGCUUGGUGAUUGUUGCAAUGGGUGGGUCCUGUUGUGGCCAAAGAGUCUGCUUCGUCUGGAGGAGGCCGGGAGCACACCCACGAGCACGCAGUUAGGUAUGAACAUCAACACCUUGCCUACUCCAUUAGUCGCUGGUGAUGUCGCCAUAGAUGAGGAUGAGGAUGAGGAUGAUGAUGACACUCAACAGUAUGUCAAUACUGGCGCCUCCUUAGGGUUUGAGCGUCAUGAGUCGGUGCCUGAGUUGCCGCCUCCGGAGUCUAAACAUAUUAUGUACAACCUUCCGGUAGUAAAGAAGUCUAGGAAGAGAUCGAGGGAAGGCAAAAAAAGCUGCUUCCAUGAUCCAGCCACCUCAGCAGCCUCGGGUUCAAGACCGUAUAGAUAUCCCCGGUGCGGCAAAAUGGCAUAUCCCCGGUCAACCAAUCCUACCUGAAGUAGCGCUAGGGGCCAGAUUCGGUAAUUUAAGGAGACUUCAUGACGAUGUGAUGCGGAUAGAGAAAUGCCACAUCGCCUCAAAAAAUACAGGAUACCCACUCUACGUGGUUAACGUGCCGCGAGGAUUGUCGUACGUCGACACAUUCCCCGCGGAGAAGUUCUUCCUUUGAUUCGAUUACAUCUUUGACAUGUUUCACUUGAAGAAGAUGGAUUUUGUGUUUGUCCGCCUUUAUGCUUUGCACAUGAACUACCUCAUCGGAGUUGAGCAGAUACCUCAUAUCUGUGUCGCUGACCCAUACUUCAUGCACGAGGCCUUCUUGGGAGUCUGCCAAAGCACCCUGAAUACGUGAGGGAAUACAUCGUCAAUUUCAUGCUCGCCAAUAAGGACAAGGAGGCGAUUCUCGUGCCUUAUCAUCCCAUGUAAGUCAUCCGCACGGAUAUCCUUCCUUUGAUUUCAAUCAUUCAUUUGCACGGUUGAGGCUAACUAAUUUGAGGUGUACUUAUUUUGUGCAGCGGCGGGCGCGCCGCCCUCAUCAUCCUCUACCCCCGAUACUCCCACGCUCUUUACUUGGACUCGUCGAAGAACAUUAACAAAAAGGAUUACACCCACAUCAAGUCUGUUCUCGAUAGUACUAUGUUUUACUACGACGCACGGGGUGGAGAGGUCAAGGACAAGAAGAAAAGGGACGGCAGGCCCACCUUCGACCAUAAGACCGACUUCUGCUGCAUCCAGCAACCGAGUGAUUAUCUUAAUGAUGGAUUCUAUGUCCUACACCACAUGCUGGAGUACAGACGGGAUCACCAGAACCUUCGCAUGUCACCUACAUCCGGCGAUGCCCAUAUUCUGCAAUGGGCAAAGAACUUGGGAGAUAUCGAGGAUCAUCGACUUCGAGCUGAGUUCUAUCACAUCUAGCGUGAACUUGCCCAAAUCAUCAUGAAGGAGGUCGUCAAAAAAACAGGGAUGUUCUAUGAAGAAGGACAAAUGUCGCGGGAAGACGUCCGAACACGCGUAGCCCCUCAGCGUAUCGACCUGAAGCCUUUCACUAAGCUCGGGGACUAUCUCCCUGACUUGGAUGGAUGGCACGACAUGGAGUGAUUGUCGAUAUAUGACAAUGUGUCCGUUUAGUCCAUACUAUCUGUAUGACGAAACUUUGAAUUAUGCACAGCGAAACUUUAUUUGUGAUGUAAUUAAACCGUCCUCCUCGACUAGCGAAGAUCACUCUAGUUAGGGCAUUUUGGGUACGAUGAACUUUGUUAUUUAUGCUUAUGAUAUGUUGCUUCUAUUUUUGUCAAGUCUGUCUCUUUCUGUUGCUCAACUACAUAUGUUGCAUAUCAUCGACUCAUGUGAUGAUGCAAGUGUAUAGAUCAUCGAUGGCAAAGAAGUGCUACGCCAGGAGUAUAGGACGAGUGGCCGGAAUGUCAGGCCCAGGUGUACCGGUUUCCAAUUUUCAAGCGACAGCCAGUAGUUAGUUUAGGUUCACGCAAAGUGAUAGCUCUUCUCGCGUAUAUCAUUGUUUAGAUGGAUGACGAUGUAGUUGCAAGUAAUCGAGACUUGUAUCGCUAUUUUUGAGAUGAUGACGAGAGACCACUUUGUGUUGGAUGAUGAUUAUGAUGAUGACAUGAUAUGAUAAGACUAUUUGUAUGUAUAUGCUAUGAUCACAUUUUUAUGUGUAUGAUAUGCUAAAGAUUAUUGAUGCUAAAGAUUAUUGUAUAAAGCUUAUUCAAAUACAAAACAAAUAUGCAGAAAAAAAACAAAAACUAAUAAAACUAGCAGUAGCGAGGGGAACAAAGUUAGCAGUAGCACUCCCUUACCAGUAGCGCUUCCUGCUAAAAAGCGCUACAGAUAUUAGCAGCAGCGCUCUGAACUAAAGCGCGCUACUGCUAGCCAUGUAUAGCAAUAGCGUAGGACGACAGGCGCUACUGCUACACGUUAGCUGUAGCACCUUAUCAGUAGCGCGUCCACCCGCGCUACUGAUAGGGAAAAUACCCGCGCUACUGCUAGGGUUUUCCCUAGUAGUGUAGAGCUAAACUUUUGCUUCCAAACUACCAAUGAACUGCAACGUGGUCAUUUGUAUCGUCUAUGAUGCUAUGAAGAUUGUGACGUGACUUUGCUCUAUGUGAGUGGAUAAGUAUGAAACUGACUUGUUAACUUGUUUAUUUAUCUUCGUAGAUGAAGUGGAACUGGUAUGUGGUGUACACCGGAAGGAAUCCAAGAUUUUAUGAUUCAUGAGUGAUAUGCAAGAAACAAGUGGACGGUUACAAAAACAGCUGCUAUUAAGGAUAUAAGACUAAAAAAGAAGCUAAGGAUCAUUAUGGCAAAUACGUCCGCAAAGAGAAGAUCAACUAUGAAGUAUGCAACACCGUGUGGACAAGUGAACGAGUAAAGAAUUUGAUUAUCUUUAUCCAGUUCAUUGUCAUUAUGGUCUUGUUGUUAUCAUGAGUUCUUAUAUGUAUGUGUACUAAUGAUGCGAUGUGAAUUGUUAUACUCUAAUGCAUAAUCUAUUUGUAUGAAGUUUAGAUUAUUAUUAUGUUAAAUGUAAUGAGCACGUUCACUUAUGUUAUUUGUAUGUUGUAAUGUGUAUUGGUCGCUGUUUGUUCGCAAUUGGCAGGGCUGACUGCUAAACAAGUAGUUGUGGCGGGUGCCAUAGAAUGCCCGCCACAACUAACAAUAUAAGCAGUGGCGGGCAAAGUAGCUCGUCGGCCACUCCAAAGACUAUACCACUUGCGGAUGCGCGCCCGCCACUGAUGCCAUUAUAGCAGUGGCGAGCGUCCCUGGAAGCCUGACCCGCCAUUGCUGGGCUUUUUACGCCCGUCACUACUAGACAUUCAUGCAGUGUGUUUGUGAACGAUUGAGUAUCAAAUUACAUGACACCCAAUCAGGACCUAAGUGUCCAGUGAUAAUGUUUCUAUAGAUGGCAAGUGGUGCUCUGUUCAUGACUAGCUGCUUGUCUUUUUUGUCUCCAUAACAUGAACAAAUUAGGCGUUCUGCACUUUUCCAAGAUACGUCAAAGGUUCGAGAUCAUAGAUAGAAAAUGUCUAAGACAGAUAGUUUUACAACUUAGCCACACCUAGCUUAGCUAAUGUUUGACAUGCGAAUGACUCACUACUAGCCCACUCAUCUACUCUAAUCCGGAGCGAUCACACCUCUCGCAAUAGUCCGAUCGCCCUCUAGUCUUCCCUUCUAAAUCGAUCUUCUUGAGAAGUUCACUCAUGGAAGGAAUCGCUCCAUUAAACACAAUAUCAUUUUUGUGCUUCUACAACAUCCACGCAACUAGCACAAUUAUGGUUCAUGUCUCCUUCUAGAGCUUUGCUUGUGGAUUUAUGGAGGUCCACUGUGACGCCCCCGAUUCAAUCAUACACUAAUAAUACACGCAAACGUGUACGAUCAAGAUCAGGGACUCACGGGAAGAUAUCACAACACAACUCUACAAAUAAAAUAAGUCAUACAAGCAUCAUAUUACAAGCCAGGGGCCUCGAGGGCUCGAAUACAAGAGCUCGAUCAUAGACGAGUCAGCGGAAGCAACAAUAUCUGAGUACAACCAUAAGUUAAACAAGUUUGCCUUAAGAAGGCUAGCACAAACUGGGAUACAGAUCGAAAGAGGCGCGGGCCUCCUGCCUGGGAUCCUCCUAAACUACUCAUGGUCGUCGUCAGCGGGCUGCACGUAGUAGUAGGCACCUCCAGUGUAGUAGGAGUCGUCGUCGACGGUGGCGUCUGGCUCAUGGGCUCCAUCGUCUGGAGCAGCAAUCGGGUAUAGAAAGGGGAAAAGGGGGGAGCAAAGCAACCGUGAGUACUCAUCCAAAGUACUCGCAAGCAAGGAGCUACACUACAUAUGUAUGCAUUAGUAUCAAAUGGAAAAGGGGUAUCAUAUGUGGACUGGACUGCAGAAUGCCGGAAUAAGAGGGGGAUAGCUAGUCCUAUCGAAGACUACGCUUCUGGCCACCUCCAUCUUGCAGCAUGUAGAAGAGAGCAGAAGGUAAGUUCACCAAGUAGCAUCGUGUAGCAUAAUCCUAACCGAUGAUCCUCCCUUCGUCGCCCCGUGAGAGAGCGGUCACCGGUUGUAUCUGGCACUUGGAAGGGUGUGUUUUAUUAAGUAUCCGGUUCUAGUUGUCAUAAGGUCAAGGUACAACUCCAAGUCGUCCUGUUACCGAAGAUCACGACUAUUCGAAUAGAUUAACUUCCCUGCAGGGGUGCACCACAUAACCCAACACGCUCGAUCCCAUUUGGCGGGACACACUUUCCUGAGUCAUGCCCGGCCUCGGAAGAUCAACACGUCGCAGCCCUACCUAGGCACAACAGAGAGGUCAGUACGUCGGUCUAAAUCCUAUGCGCGCAGGGGUCUGGGCCCAUCGCCCAUUGCACACCUGCACGUUGCGUACGCGGCCGGUGAGCAGACCUAGCAACCUUCAUUACAAAGGAAGUUGUGUUACGCGGUCCAACCCGGCGCGCGCCGCUCAGUCGCUGACGUCACGAAGGCUUCGGCUGAUACCAUGACGUCGAGUGCCCAUAACUGUCCCCGCGUAGAUGGUUAGUGCGUAUAAGCCAGUGGCCAGACUCAGAUCAAAUACCAAGAUCUCGUUAAGCGUGUUAGAGUAUCCGCGAACGCCGACCAGGGCCAGGCCCACCUCUCUCCUAGGUGGUCUCAACCUGUCGUGUCACUCUGCCUUAAAGUAACAGUCGGGGGCCGUCGGGAACUCAGGCCCACCACUACAUGGAUGGAGCCACCUGCCCCUUCAGCCCCCAUCUCCGAACAGUAUCAUAAGUAAUGUAACAGUAUAAGUAUAUAUCAUAUGCCCGUGAUCACCUCCCGAAGUGAUCACGGCCCAGUAGUAUAGCAUGGCAGACGAACAAGAGUGUAGGGUCACUGAUGGAACACUAGUAUCAUAUACUAAGCAUUAGGAUAGCAGGUAAAGGUAACAAUAUUAGUAGCAAGGACAGGCUAUGCAUCAGAAUAGGAUUAACGAAUAGGCGAUAUCUGGUGAUCAAGGGGGGGGCUUGCCUGGUUGCUCUGGCAAGAAGGAUGGGUCAUCAACACCGUAGUCGAACUGGGGUUCGCCGACAGUCUCGAGGUCUACCGGAAAGAAGUAACGGAGGAGGAACACAAUAAAUAACAAAGCAGCCAAAGCAUCAUAAAGUGUAACAUGGCAUUACGCGGUGCUAGAGGUGAUCUAACGUAGUAGUAGGUGCUACUGGCGAAGGGGGAAAACAUCCGGGAAAGUAUUCUCGGUGUUUGACGUUUUUGGACAGACGAAUCGGAAGGGUAUUGUUGCACGUUCGCUAUGCUAGGGAUGUGUGGCGGACGAACAGACUGUGUAUCCGGACUCGUCUCGAAAUUCUGAGCAACUUUCAUGUACAGGUGUUUUUCAUCCGAGUUACGGGUAUUUUUCUAUGAUUUUUCGAAGAUUAAACAAUAUUAUGUAAUUACUAGAAAUUAAAUUAAAUCAAAAAUACACAUAAAAAGCUAGAUGCACCCGGUCCAGUGCACCCAGUAGUGCACUAGAGGCUGACAAUGGGCCAGGAAGGGUCCAGUCAGCAGAGUUGACCUACUGCUUUGACUAGUCAACGGGGUCAACGGUCCCACAUGUAAUAGACACAAAACUAUUAAACUAAAUGAGGUAUAAUCUAAACAGAUUGGGCCCAUUGGCCAUUGGUACAAUAGGCUAGCUAACACUAAGAUUUGGCCCUGCCUAAUUAAAUCCUAGGACUAAUUAAAUCGACCGGCCACACAUGGGCACAGCCGUGCCUCACACACAUGUGCCCGCAACGCACAUGGUGGCCAUGGCCAUGCCACAAGCAGCGUACAGGAGCGGCUAGGAGGCGUACGAGUGGCCGGGGCUCACGCGGAGCAGCAAGAAGCAGCGGUGGCGGCGGCAGGAGCGGCGGCGCAGUAGGCAGGGGGAGCAACAACAUAGCAACGACGGGGUUAGUAGCAGGCCGGGACGCGGGCACGCACGUAUGCACUAUGCAGGGACGCCGGCGGUUGUAGCCAGCAGCCCCAGCAGCAUGCAGCAGCGCAACAGGCGGUGGGUGUGCUCGCACACUCGGGGCACGGCCGGCGUGCGGUGUGGGCGCAGGGCGGGCACGCGCAGGCAAAGCGGCUGUAGUAGGCAUCGCCGCAACGGUAGUAGCCGGAGCAGGGGCCGCGGGCGGCAGCAAGCGGCGAGCGGGGCAGCGGAGCGGCAAUGGGUAGCGGCAGCGUAGUAGAGCAGAGGCAGCGAGCAGAGCAGCGCAAGGAGCAGCAGGCGCGCGUACGCGGACACUGAGGUUCAGCCAUGGCGGCCGUCGGCUCGUACAGGUGACUACGUCAACGGAUCGAGACAAGUGUGAUGGGGAUUCGGAGGAGGAGCUCACCGCAAGUCCGGUGGCGUGCUCGAGGAGGUCGGGGACGGACCGGAGCGGUGGCAACCAGCGACGAGAUGCGGCGGCCUCACGAGGGGAAUGGCUCGGCAUGGCUCGAUGCCGAGUGUACGGUGCGGCCCGUCUUGAUUUAAUGGGGGUAGUCGAAGGAGUCGACGACGAGGGAGCCCCUGGACUUCUUGGCGCGGCGAGGGGAGGCCGGUCCCUGGACUUCUUGGCGCGGCGAGGGGAGGCCGGUGGCCGCGGGAUCGAUGCGGUGGCAGUGACGGCGACCAUGAGCUUCGGGCGACAAACAGACGAGCGAGACGAACGAAAGAGAGGGAAUGGGGAGGCUAGGGUUCGUCCACUAGGUCGGACUCCAGAUUAACUAGGUCGGAGGUGCCGGCGGAUGGUUGACACGAGCCCAUCGGCGACGUGGACGGGCGCGCCAACUCCACGCCAUGGCUCUGCCUCCCUCUGUACAGGGGUUGAGGAAAGGCCCUAGUGGUGGGCCGGGCCUGGUACAGUAGAAGGGAUGGGCUAAGUGCAAGUGGGGUUUUCCUUUUAUUCCUUUCCUUUCUUUUUUGUUUAUUUAUUUCCUCUUCUACUUUGCAUUUUAUUUUAGUACCAAUUGACUUCUGUUGAAUCUGAAAAUUGCACAUAAAUAGCAGACAACAAUUUGAGCUAUCACAAACAUUUCCAAUUUAACUUGAAAUGUUUAACUAUUUGUUUAAAUCAAAAGGCUCAAUUUAAUGGUGUUGGUUCUGUUUAAAAAGAAGAUAAGGGAAUUUUAAUAAUAAGAAGAAAUAUUUUUUUCUUCAUAAAAAAUAGUUAGUGAAAAUUUGCAACACAGCAAACAUUUUUAUUUUGCUGUUUUAAUAAAUAUUUUUUUUGUUUAUUCUAAAUUUGAAAUUGGCGUUGAUUUUUAUCAAGUGGAAAUUUGGCUUAGUUAAUCGUGAUGACACGACACCAUUAGUGUGAGGUCACUGUAGCAUGACAGCGGGGAUGUUACAUCCACCGUUCCAUCAUACUGGCAUACACACUUGGUAGUCAAGUUGGUUUGUCCCAGUGGUCAAGGAUGGUGAGCCACACUUGCCUAGCAAAGACACAGCCAAGCAAGAUGCGGUUGAUUGUUUCCGAUGCUUGAUCGCAGAAUGGACAAGUCAAAGGGUGCGGUAGCUGUUGUCGCACAAGUCUGUCUGUCGUCCAACACCUCUCCCUAGCCGCCAGCAACGCGAACAACUUGCAGGUCGCCGGCGCACCCUCGACCACCAGAUUUGUGUGGCUCCAUAGGCCUCCACUCUCUCCUAGCAAACAACGCCCGGUAAGCCGAUCUUGCCGAGAAGCAUCAGUUUAUCUCCCAAGCACAGACUAGCUUGUCUUCAGUACCAUCCUGGAGUUAAAUGUCUUAAUGUGUUGGGUUCUGUCCACGAGCUACAAGAACCCCGCUUAGUGCUUGAGGGCACAUGUUAGGCGACAUGUCUUGCCACCAUCCAUCAACAAUGGCUUGUUUCACCAUUCUCUUCCAUGCUCUGUUCUUAACUGACGCGAAUAAGUUUGGCAUGAGGUCUUGAAUUCAACCGUUCCACAACCACCAAUCUGUGCAAGAACCCCGCUUAGUGAUUGAGGGCACAUGUUAGGCGACACGUCUUGCCACCAUCCGUCAACAAUGGCUUGUUUCAUCAUUCUCUCCCCUGUUCUGUUCUUAACUGUCGCAAAUAAGUUUGGCAUGAGGUCUUGAAUUCGACCGUUCCACAACCACCAAUCUGUCCAAAACAGUGCCACCUCUCCAUUUCCUAGCGUGCACUUGGUCACCGCCUUGUAGACCUGCAGGCGUUGUGCACUACAUUUUUUUAUAAAGAGAAUAUAUUAAUAUCACGGAGAUAUCAAUUACACCUUGCCUCUGCACCAACAAAAUGUUACGAACUUCAAGAUGCACACAGCCUGAAAGUGAAAAAAAAAAGAAAAUGAAAAGAAAAACCACCACAGUAAUCAACUCCUCACAACAGCAACCCAACAAACUACAGCCAAAGACAACACCCGGAAUACAAAAGGUU